This 468-nucleotide ribosomal RNA is filed under the name uncultured bacterium. RNAcentral's name for it is "partial 16S ribosomal RNA". It matches the Rfam family "Bacterial small subunit ribosomal RNA", at positions 28 to 507 of the family's 1533-position model. The record is from RNAcentral.
GACGAACGCUGGCGGCGUGCUUAACACAUGCAAGUCGAACGGAAAGGCCCUGCUUUUGUGGGGUGCUCGAGUGGCGAACGGGUGAGUAACACGUGAGUAACCUGCCCUUGACUUUGGGAUAACUUCAGGAAACUGGGGCUAAUACCGGAUAGGAGCUCCUGCUGCAUGGUGGGGGUUGGAAAGUUUCGGCGGUUGGGGAUGGACUCGCGGCUUAUCAGCUUGUUGGUGGGGUAGUGGCUUACCAAGGCUUUGACGGGUAGCCGGCCUGAGAGGGUGACCGGCCACAUUGGGAAUGAGAUACGGCCCAGACUCCAACGGGAGGCAGCAGUGGGGAAUAUUGCACAAUGGGCGGAAGCCUGAUGCAGCAACGCCGCGUGCGGGAUGACGGCCUUCGGGUUGUAAACCGCUUUCGCCUGUGACGAAGCGUGAGUGACGGUAAUGGGUAAAGAAGCACCGGCUAACUACGUG